Molecule: ribosomal RNA, 253 nt
Filed under: uncultured bacterium
Lineage: Bacteria
Description: partial 16S ribosomal RNA
Rfam family: Bacterial small subunit ribosomal RNA
Source: RNAcentral
UACGUAGGGACCAAGCGUUGUUCGGAUUUACUGGGCGUAAAGGGCGCGUAGGCGGCAUGACAAGUCACUUGUGAAAUCUCCGGGCUUAACUCGGAACGGUCAAGUGAUACUGUCGCGCUAGAGUGCGGAAGGGGCAAUCAGAAUUCUUGGUGUAGCGGUGAAAUGCGCAGAUAUCGGGAGGAACACCAAUUGCGAAGGCAGCUCGCUGGGACGUGACUGACGCUGGGACGCGAAAGCGUGGGGAGCAAACAGG